This is a long non-coding RNA of Herpailurus yagouaroundi (jaguarundi), 742 nucleotides long. RefSeq lists it as uncharacterized. Lineage: Eukaryota; Metazoa; Chordata; Mammalia; Carnivora; Felidae. The record is from RefSeq and is a predicted model, not a curated record. The transcript is spliced from 2 exons.
CUGGGAGCGACAGAGAAGCCGGCCUCGCGGAGCCGCUCUGACCGCCUCAGGAGCCCCUGAAGGCCAGACACCCACACAGCCGCCCCUCUCUAGUCUCACUGUCUCAUUUGCUAACAACAGGGUCACGUCAGGCAACGCUGAAGGAAGGCCCGGGAGCUCGGUGGGUCUGACCCAGGGGAGCUUCAAAGCCUCGCUCUGCCCAUUUCCCAGAAGCCUCUGCCCCCCCCCCCCGGGGAUGUAAGAGGAGGCCAGAGGCAGAGCCUGAGGGAGCCCGCCCCACAGCCCUGCGACUCCCCAGAGGUCGCUCUGACCCAGGGACGAGACUGUGCCGGCAGCGGGGAGCUGGGCCGGACAGACGAAGCAGGAGCGCAGGGCUGCCAGAGUACCUUCCGGGUGGGCCCUGAGAGCACCUGGCACCCCGGCCAUCCCAGAGGUGGCUUCCGUCCCUGUCGCUUCCCCCCACGCCGCCUGCCCUGCACUGGCCCAGACCUUCUGACCCCAAACCAGAAGCCUGAGACAGCAGAGCUGGUACAGAUGGGAAAACUGAGGACCACACGCCAGGAGCGGCUCAGCGGGAGGGUGGCUGAACGAACUUCCCUUCCGGGCCACCCGGCUUCCAGAACAGUGCGGGCCCUGGGUCACAGACCAGGCAGGAAGCGGCUGAGCUGUGUGACUAUGUGCUGGUCCCUCAGCUUCCCAGGGCCUCAGUUUCCUCACCUGAAGAAAGGGAUCAUUAAAAAAA